RNAcentral lists this ribosomal RNA (492 nucleotides) under uncultured bacterium. RNAcentral describes it as "partial 16S ribosomal RNA". It matches the Rfam family "Bacterial small subunit ribosomal RNA", at positions 29 to 507 of the family's 1533-position model. The record is from RNAcentral.
AGUGAACGCUGGCGGUAGGCCUAACACAUGCAAGUCGAACGGCAGCACAGUAAGAGCUUGCUCUUACGGGUGGCGAGUGGCGGACGGGUGAGGAAUACAUCGGAAUCUACUUUUUCGUGGGGGAUAACGUAGGGAAACUUACGCUAAUACCGCAUACGACCUACGGGUGAAAGCAGGGGAUCUUCGGACCUUGCGCGAUUGAAUGAGCCGAUGUCGGAUUAGCUAGUUGGCGGGGUAAAGGCCCACCAAGGCGACGAUCCGUAGCUGGUCUGAGAGGAUGAUCGGCCACACUGGAACUGGAACACGGUCCAGACUCCUACGGGAGGCAGCAGUGGGGAAUAUUAGACAAUGGGCGCAAGCCUUAUCCAGCCAUACCGCGUGGGUGAAGAAGGCCUUCGGGUUGUAAAGCCCUUUUUUUGGGAAAGAAAAGCAGCAGGUUGAUACCCCGCUGUUCUGACGGUACCCAAAGAAUAAGCACCGGCUAACUUCGUG